Molecule: long non-coding RNA, 812 nt
Filed under: Malus domestica (apple)
Lineage: Eukaryota; Viridiplantae; Streptophyta; Magnoliopsida; Rosales; Rosaceae
Description: long non-coding RNA (MDOM_LNC005757)
Source: RNAcentral
AGUAAAUAAACGAAACAAAACGAGUAAAACACAACCUAAACCUUCCAACAAUCGCCUCAGGGAUUUCCAAUGCACAUGACAUGUUAAAAAUCAUCAUUCCACAGAUUUUAGCCAUCUUUACACUUAAGCACAUACUUAAUCGUAGUCACUACUUACUAGUUCACAUUUAACCAAUUAAAACAAUGUUUGAAUGUAGUAACAUGCCUUAGAGAAUCCCUCAGUUCCUUACUAGAUAUGCACUCUAUUUUCACUCAGAUUUUCUAACUACACACCCUAACUAGUUAUAUGUGAGAAGAUUGAUGUAAAUAAAAAACGAUGCUCACAUAUAUGUAUGACAAAGGGAGCAAUUUCCGGAGUUAAUAACAUGUUUAUAAAUAUGAUCUCAUGAAUGGAAUGCUACUACUUAGAUGCGCGAACCAAUGACACCAUAUGCUCAAACCAAUUUCAAACUCCACAAAUUGAAAUACACAACACUCAAGAUUAAAGUCAAGGGUUGUAACGGGGCUUAAGGUAUUGGCUAACAAAAACGGAUAUGGAAAACAAACGUUCUUUAAAACAAUAGUAAGCAAAGUAUGGAAAUCGAAACUUAGAAUUCACUUUAGCAUGCCGAAAUCAAUUUCAAAACAGAAGGGAAGACUCAAACAAUUAAUUAGGGCCGAAUGCAACUCUUUGGACCCUUUCUUCAACACACAACACUUUGGAACUCUUUUUCACAUGCCUUUCAACUAUUUUGCAUGUUUUUCACAACUUUUCUUUUUUUUUUUUUUUUUUUUUUACUAUUUUUCACUCUUUUUUUUUUUUUUCUUUCUUUU